Molecule: ribosomal RNA, 329 nt
Filed under: uncultured bacterium
Lineage: Bacteria
Description: bacterial SSU rRNA
Rfam family: Bacterial small subunit ribosomal RNA
Source: RNAcentral
CGUGUAGGCGGUGCGGUAAGUUGGGCGUGAAAUCCCCGAGCUUAACUCGGGUGGGCCGUUCAAGACUGCCGUGCUAGGGUGCGGGAGAGGGAAGUGGAAUUUCCGGUGUAGCGGUGAAAUGCGUAGAUAUCGGGAGGAACACCUGCGGCGAAGGCGGCUUCCUGGACCGUAACCGACGCUGAGGCGCGAAAGCUAGGGGAGCAAACAGGAUUAGAUACCCUGGUAGUCCUAGCCCUAAACGAUGAGCACUGGGUGUGGCCCCUCACGGGGCCGUGCCGAAGCUAACGCAUUAAGUGCUCCGCCUGGGGAGUACGGUCGCAAGGCUAGAA